This 483-nucleotide ribosomal RNA is filed under the name uncultured bacterium. RNAcentral's name for it is "partial 16S ribosomal RNA". It matches the Rfam family "Bacterial small subunit ribosomal RNA", at positions 899 to 1397 of the family's 1533-position model. The record is from RNAcentral.
ACUCAAAUGAAUUGACGGGGGAGCGCACAACCGGUGGAGCAUGUGAUUUAAUUCGAUACGAAGCGAAAGACCUUACCCAGGUUUGACAUGUACCUGCACGUUCUGGGAAACCAGAAUUUCUUCGAGAGUGGUACACAGGUGAUGCAUGGCUGUCGUCAGCUCGUGUCGUGAGACGUCCGCUUAAGUGCGGUAACGAGCGCAACCCUUGUCCUGUGUUGCAUAUCACAGGGGACUGCCCCAUUUUAGUGGGGAGGAAGGAGAGGAUGACGUCAAGUCAGCACGUCCCUUACAUCUGGGGCCAUACACAUCCUACAAUGGAGCCGACAACGGGUCGCGAAGGGGUAACCCUGAGCUAAUCCUUAUAAACGGCUCCUCAGUUCAGAUUGAGGGCUGCAACCCGCCCUCAUGAAGUCGGAAUCGGUAGUAAUCGCGGGUCAGCAGACCGCGGUGAAUACGUUCUCGCUCCUUGUACACACCGCCCGU